Molecule: non-coding RNA, 31 nt
Filed under: Mus musculus (house mouse)
Lineage: Eukaryota; Metazoa; Chordata; Mammalia; Rodentia; Muridae
Source: RNAcentral
UACAAGUCCAGGUUCGAAUAAGAUUAACAUU